UGGGGAAUAUUGGACAAUGGGCGCAAGCCUGAUCCAGCCAUGCCGCGUGAGUGAUGAAGGCCCUAGGGUUGUAAAGCUCUUUCACCGGUGAAGAUAAUGACGGUAACCGGAGAAGAAGCCCCGGCUAACUUCGUGCCAGCAGCCGCGGUAAUACGAAGGGGGCUAGCGUUGUUAGGAUUUACUGGGCGUAAAGCGCACGUAGGCGGACUUUUAAGUCAGGGGUGAAAUCCCGGGGCUCAACCCCGGAACUGCCUUUGAUACUGGAAGUCUUGAGUAUGGUAGAGGUGAGUGGAAUUCCGAGUGUAGAGGUGAAAUUCGUAGAUAUUCGGAGGAACACCAGUGGCGAAGGCGGCUCACUGGACCAUUACUGACGCUGAGGUGCGAAAGCGUGGCGAGCAAACAGG
This 404-nucleotide ribosomal RNA is filed under the name Actinomycetes bacterium. RNAcentral describes it as "Actinobacteria bacterium partial 16S ribosomal RNA". It matches the Rfam family "Bacterial small subunit ribosomal RNA", at positions 355 to 776 of the family's 1533-position model. Lineage: Bacteria; Bacillati; Actinomycetota; Actinomycetes. The record is from RNAcentral.